CACGUAGGGCGCAAGCGUUGUCCGGAAUUAUUGGGCGUAAAGAGCUCGUAGGCGGUCUGUUGCGUCCGCUGUGAAAACUCGGGGCUUAACCCCGAGCCUGCAGUGGAUACGGGCAGACUAGAGGUAGGUAGGGGAGAAUGGAAUUCCUGGUGUAGCGGUGAAAUGCGCAGAUAUCAGGAGGAACACCGAUGGCGAAGGCGGGUCUCUGGGCCACUACUGACGCUGAGAAGCGAAAGCAUGGGGAGCGAACAGG
RNAcentral lists this ribosomal RNA (253 nucleotides) under uncultured bacterium. Its description in RNAcentral is "partial 16S ribosomal RNA". It matches the Rfam family "Bacterial small subunit ribosomal RNA", at positions 524 to 776 of the family's 1533-position model. The record is from RNAcentral.